Molecule: ribosomal RNA, 305 nt
Filed under: Aequipecten opercularis
Lineage: Eukaryota; Metazoa; Mollusca; Bivalvia; Pectinida; Pectinidae
Description: eukaryotic LSU rRNA
Rfam family: Eukaryotic large subunit ribosomal RNA
Source: RNAcentral
AUCACUAAGCGGAGGAAAAGAAACUAACAAGGAUUCCCCCAGUAACGGCGAGUGAAGUGGGAAUAGCCCAGCACCGAAUCCCUCAGCCUUGCGCUGCCGGGAAAUGUGGUGUUUGGGACGACCGCUGUCGUGUUGUUCGGGUGCCCAAGUCCUCCCGAUCGGGGCCUCUCCCACAGUGGGUGUCAGGCCUUUACCGGCACUCGUCGGCAUGGCUAUGGUCGUCCUCGGAGUCGGGUUGUUUGGGAAUGCAGCCCAAAGCUGGUGGUAAACUCCAUCUAAGGCUAAAUACUGACACGAGUCCGAUA